UGGGGAAUAUUGCACAAUGGGCGCAAGCCUGAUGCAGCGACGCCGCGUGGGGGAUGACGGCCUUCGGGUUGUAAACUCCUUUCGCUAGGGACGAAGCGCAAGUGACGGUACCUGGAGAAGAAGCACCGGCUAACUACGUGCCAGCAGCCGCGGUAAUACGUAGGGUGCGAGCGUUGUCCGGAAUUACUGGGCGUAAAGAGCUCGUAGGUGGUUUGUCGCGUCGUUUGUGUAAGCCCGCAGCUUAACUGCGGGACUGCAGGCGAUACGGGCAUAACUUGAGUGCUGUAGGGGAGACUGGAAUUCCUGGUGUAGCGGUGGAAUGCGCAGAUAUCAGGAGGAACACCGAUGGCGAAGGCAGGUCUCUGGGCAGUAACUGACGCUGAGGAGCGAAAGCAUGGGUAGCGAACAGGAUUAGAUACCCUGGUA
Molecule: ribosomal RNA, 426 nt
Filed under: uncultured bacterium
Lineage: Bacteria
Description: bacterial SSU rRNA
Rfam family: Bacterial small subunit ribosomal RNA
Source: RNAcentral